Glycine soja is the source of this 818-nucleotide long non-coding RNA. RefSeq lists it as uncharacterized. NCBI's taxonomy places the organism in Eukaryota, Viridiplantae, Streptophyta, Magnoliopsida, Fabales, Fabaceae. The record is from RefSeq and is a predicted model, not a curated record. The transcript has 3 exons.
ACAUACGUAACAUUUCUGAGCGUCGUUUCUUCUUUUUCCAUUCUGAAGAUGUUCGCUCUCUUAGUUUGAUUGGGUUUCGGCCUUUUGGGUUCACCUUGCUUUCGGUGUGUUUAUCUUAGCGUUUCCAGUGCUUGAUAUCCACUCUCGAAAAAUGCUUCAACCAUUACUUUGGUUUCUUGCCUUACUUUGUUUCAACGUACACUUUCCGAAAAAUCAAAAACACUUCAAUCUCCACUCUCCAAUCUCACUCGAGAAUAUCUGAAAGGUGAAAUUUUUCAUUCGAUCUGGGUUUGGGCCCUCGUUGCCUCGUUCCGUUUUCUGCAUUUGGUUCGUUUGCUAGUUUGGGUUAAUUAUUAGAUGCCACAUUUGAUGAUAGGAUUUGGUUCGAACAUAAUAGUUGGCCACCGUUCUGUUGAAUUCCGAAAGUUUUGUUAGGGUCAAACACAAAUUCCCAACCACCUGUUAAGAAGGAAAGGCACCUACCAAUAAUUCUUGAUUAGAUGAUGGAAUAUACCAGCAGAUCUUGACCCUCUUGAUUGUAGAGUUUGCACUGUCUAAGGUUGCUCUAUUUUUAGAGCCUAAACUACACUAGCAAGGCUAGAAAAUUUUACAACUACAUUGACCAAAAGAUUGAUAGAAAGGAAAUCUAUUAUGUGAAGAAGUUCUACUUUGAUUGGUGCCUUCGAAUGACUUUAUUUUUUAUUGGUGAAGUUCUAUUUAUUGUUGUAUAUAUAUUGGGCAAAGCAAUUCAAUGUUAUGUGAUAUUUAUUGUAAACAAUUUUGAGUUUGUAUGCAUUAUUAUUUUAAGAGAGACAUGA